AGCUAUUCUCAAUCAGGCUGUGUUAAAACCACUCAGGUUGAGCAUGGGGAAGCUCAGCCGGUACAAGUGGUAGUCAGUGUUCCCCUGACAGUAUAAUUUUUAUGGUGUUUGUUUUAUCAAACAUAAAUGUGCAACUUGACUGCCACAAACUUCCAGAAAGAAAAAAAACACAAAGAUAUCAUCGCAGAACAUAAAAUAAGAUCUUGUGUGACUUGGACUUCUCACAGAUCUUCCUUUACCUGGGCUGCUGCACUGCCAUCCUGCUCUGCAAUGCUCUAAAUCCCCUUUGAAGACGCUGAGCCAUCUGCUCGAGAUGGAGCCUGAAUAAUAAGAUGCAAACAUUCCUAAUAUAACUUUAGUGCCCCUUUGUGCCACUGUCCAUCAGUUGGUUGGGGUUC
This 398-nucleotide long non-coding RNA is filed under the name Homo sapiens (human). Its description in RNAcentral is "HSALNT0358263". Lineage: Eukaryota; Metazoa; Chordata; Mammalia; Primates; Hominidae. The record is from RNAcentral.